AUGGGCUCUGGCUGCUCUUUGGGGCCAGACCGCGGGGGGACGAUGACAGGUGGGGUCUGCCAGGGCUGCUCCCUUCUGCCCCCCCUUCCUCUUGCCGUCUCUUUCUCCACCCACCCACCGACCCACCCCACAAGGCUGAUACUGCCUGGCCUCAUGUUGUGUGCACGCCCCACCAGGAGCCAGGGGGAAGUCUUAGCAGGAGUCAGGGCCCAAGAGAAGCUGAGCCGAUGGACGGACUGCCCCGAAGAAGCCUUGCAGGAGCUAGCCGGUAGGCAAGAGAGGGGAAUGGAGGAGGAGGAGGAGGGAGCCUGCCCCGCCCUCCAGCAACCCCGACUGGGCACUGAAGAAGCGGGAGGACCCAUGUCUGCCUGCGCUUCCACCCUCUACAGGGACCCUCCUCUAUGGAGGCCACGUCCUGGACAGUGGAGAUGCUCAGGCCGUGCAGAGCCUUUGCCGGCAAUGUCUGGCCUCGGCCGCCCACUUGCAGCCUGGCUCCGGCCUCCAAAGCCUUCUGGCUGCAGUCCUUGGCCGUCCCAGCUCAGGGCUCUCGGAAGAGGAGGCCGCGGCGGCCACCCAGGGCCGGAUCGAGCAGCUGCCCCGCCCUAUAGAUCCAGCGUGGGUGGGUCUGUGCAGCGGUCUGCAGCAGGAGCUGAUGGCCGAACGGAGCCGGGCUCUGCUUUCGGCCCUGCAGGUGUCCCAAGGCCACUGGAAACCCCCGAGCCUCCCCUGCCAGCACCAGCAGGAGGAAGCCCUGGCGCAGCUGGUGCGGCAAGCGCUGGGGCUCACCCGAGAGCUGCAGGAGAACCUUGUCCGCUGCGGCCAGGAGGUGGGCGUGCGGGGCCAGGCCCUCCGUGGGCAUCCCCGGGGCAAGGUCCGCCCCCUGCAGCGAUUCCUCCUGGAGGAGGCGGGCAGCUUCCUUGCCUUGCUGGAGCAAGUGGGCAGGGAUCUCUGCUGCACCCAGGAGCGCCUUCAAGGGGGGGGCGGCUGCUCCUCCCCCCGCUGCCACGCCAUCCUUCAGGACCUGCAGCGAGGCCAAAUGCCACGACCUUGGCUGCCCUAUGCGCCCACGGGGGCCCAGCCUCUGCCCGCCUGGCUCCAGACCCUUCAGCGCCGCUGCCAGCUUCUGUGCGCAUACCUGGGCUCCCUCGGGGGACAGCAGCCAGUGGCCCACUUCCAGCUGGCUGCCUUCCUCCACCCCCGUCGCCUCUUCCUCGCGCUGCUUCAAGAGACGGCACGGGCCGAGAAGCAAGACGUGGACACCUACCACCUGGAUCAGCUGGUGAGAGGGAAAAGGCCCAGACCCUUCAGCGCCGCUGCCAGCUUCUGUGCGCAUACCUGGGCUCCCUCGGGGGACAGCAGCCAGUGGCCCACUUCCAGCUGGCUGCCUUCCUCCACCCCCGUCGCCUCUUCCUCGCGCUGCUUCAAGAGACGGCACGGGCCGAGAAGCAAGACGUGGACACCUACCACCUGGAUCAGCUGGUGAGAGGGAAAAGGCAAGGCAAUAAAGUGUUCCACAUCUUCUCUGAAUAG
This 1530-nucleotide long non-coding RNA is filed under the name Pogona vitticeps (central bearded dragon). RNAcentral's name for it is "lncRNA (ENSPVIG00000021395.1)". The record is from RNAcentral. Lineage: Eukaryota; Metazoa; Chordata; Lepidosauria; Squamata; Agamidae.